This 460-nucleotide ribosomal RNA is filed under the name uncultured bacterium. RNAcentral's name for it is "partial 16S ribosomal RNA". It matches the Rfam family "Bacterial small subunit ribosomal RNA", at positions 338 to 795 of the family's 1533-position model. The record is from RNAcentral.
CCUACGGGUGGCAGCAGUGAGGAAUAUUGGACAAUGGACGCAAGUCUGAAGGAGCGAUGCCGCGUGCAGGAUGACGGCCCUAGGAGUUGAAAACUGCGUUUGUACGGAGGUAAUAUCAGAUACGUGUAUCUGCGUGAAAGUAUCGUACGAAUAAGGAUCGGCUAACUCCAUGCCAGCAGCCGCGGCAAGACGGAGGAUCCAAGAGUUAUCCUGAUUUAUUGGGUUUAAAGGGUGCGGUUGCGGUUUUAUAAGUUAGAGGGGAAAAUUCGGGGCUGAACUCCCGACAUGCCUCUAAUACUGUAUGACUAGAGAAUAGAUGCGGUAAGCGGAAUGUAUGGUGUAGCGGUGAAAUGCGUAGAGAUCAUACAGAACACCGAUUGCGAAGGCAGCUUACCAAACUUUAUCUGACGUUGAGGCACGAAAGCGUGGGGAGCAAACAGGAUUAGAUACCCUAGUAGUC